AGUGCAGAAGUUCACUUGGAGAUCCAGUAGGAUUCCUCCAACACCCCGCUCUGCGACAUAGCCUUAACCUCGUUACCAUUAUUCUGAUUGAUGCUUCUCUUUUGUAUGAUCUUACUGGGGAGAAAAGGAGCCUCGGGAGGAGAUCUGCAGCUGCACACCCAGAACAGAUACACUAAAUUAUCUGUGGCUUCAGCAUUACAGAAAAAUCCUUUGCCCUGCUAACGCAUCUACCGGUCCUUUUUGGGCUUGUCAUCACUCAGCAAUUCUUUGUGUUAAAACACACUGCUGUCAGCGCUGUGUGAGAUGCUUAAACAGGAGGAUCUGUGUUCUGGCUAAUGCCAGCAAGUGAUGAUGAAACUUUUCUGGGAAAAAGUAUUCGACAGCGUUAGCCAACAGAAAUGUAAGGUGACCUAUCUCAAGGAAAAAUGCCACGUAUCAAGCAGCAAAGGGGAAAAGGCCUGUGGCUGAGGGAGGGAAAGGCUUGACAAUCAGCACUGCCUGCUGAGGGAAGGGAUUACUAUCAUCUGGGCUUUCCUUUGCUGGCAAAUAAAUUAGCUGCAAUGGCAGAUAGUGUUUAGAGAGACUCCUGCCUACCCCUGCAACAGCUCUGAAGCCUUAGACUAUCAGAAGAGCAAGAUCUGGAGCUUCAGCAUUGUGUGUGCUGAGGGGGCUGCGUCCAGCUGCUGUCUCUGAUGGUCCAGCCUUGCCCUGUCCCAAGGUGUGACAAAAGCUGACUGCAUCCUGAAAGCUGGAGCAGCUGAGGAUCUCUGCUGACAAACGGGAAGGCUGCCUAGCUGGCUGAGGGAAGGGCUGUGAAGUCUGCAGGCUUGUGCAUCAUCCUCCCAGGAAAUACGCUUUGGGUAUCAGGAGAUGAUAACAGAUCAUUCUGCUCAGGGUGUGAGGAAGAUCCCUCCUGCACAAUGGGAGAUGUGGCUGGGCAGAAGGUCUGGGAGAAUUAUCUUUGUAGGAUUGAAGGAAGAUGUGUGAUUUUUCCCAGUUUCCAGGAAUUAAUGGUGAAUGGGAGGCCCUAGACUUCAGACACACAGUGCUCCUGCUUCUGUAUCAUAGUGGAUAUUGCACCCUGAACAUUUUGUUCACUUUGGCAUUGAACAGAUGGCAAGAAACUGGAAGGGAUUCAAACAGCAGUAGACGAGAUGUAAGAGACACUGGAAGAACUGGCUUGAGAAACAAGCAAGCAAAUGCAAAAUUAGAGAUGGGAAAUGUGCUAGAGCUAUUUGGAGAGCAUAAAGCCACCGAGAGAGGGGAACUUCUUAGUUUAACAGAACAGACCAUAAUCAAAAGGAGAGCACCAUGAGUAACCCAGUGCUUUGGCAAGCAAGUACGAGCUGAUGGUGCUGCGCUGAUGUAAGCUGCCUGUCCUUUCUCUUGCCCUUCUGCUACAACUGAGGCACAGCAGAGCAGGCAGCACAAGCUCCCUCAGAGAGCUUGGGGAGCUGGUAAGUGGCUCAGAGAAGCAGUGUGGCUCAAACAGCUUUGCCUUAUGCCCCCAGGUGUUGGGCUGUGGGCAGGCAGAGCCAUGCAGUGCUGGGGCUGGAGGCUGUGCCUGGUGAAGGUGGUGGUGCCACCUGCCCUCCCUGUGAAUGGGGCCUGCUGAGCAUCCUCCUGGCUCCCCUUUCUCACUUUCCAACACUCGUCUCCAUUUCCAAAGCUGGCCAGCAGAAAGCUGCAGAUGCCCACAGUGAACCCAUCAAAAAUAUCUUCCUGCCUUAUGUUGGAGCUCUUCUGUGGCAUGUGGCUUCUUCACAGCUGGCGGUGUUCUGUGGGAUGCCUGUGCCUGCAGCUGAGCAGAGGGGUGCUGGGUUCCUGGAGGGAUGUUCACCCGCAAACCCAUGUGCCCGCACCCUGGAUGCCGCAGCAGCUCAGGCCAGCAGUGCUGCUUGCGGCCUCCCCUUUUGUGGCUGGGGCAACUGUUGUGUGAUGAAGUGUGUUGGGAUCUGGGCCAGGAGCAGGGCUGUGGAAAGGAAAAACAGAAAAAUAACAACAGCAAACAUGGCACGAUGUCAAGCCGCUGACAUUCAGGCAGCCCUCCCGCCUGGCGUCAAGGCUGCGCCCCUGCAACCGAGCCUCAUCGCGGCCUGCCCCGAGUCGCCUCAUGGAGCAGCCCAUGAGCUGCUGCUUUCUUUCUCCCUCAUGGCAAACAAGAACAAACUGUACCUACUGCUCAUCCUGUUGUUCUUUGGGGAAGGGGUCCAGACAAUGAAACACACAGCACCAAGCAGCCAAGCUGACAGAGCAGGCCACGUGCGGCGGGAUGCCAGGCUGCAGCGCCUCGGGUAUUGGUCUGAGCCAGAACAGCUUGCACCCGCUUUGGUGGAAAUCCCCCUGCUGAAAGAGAGGGGUGUUAUGAAAUCUGCCUGCCCCACACACGUGGGAGCCAGGCAGGAGUAGUGGGAUGUGGAGCCAGCCGCACACAGCAGCCACUGACCUCUGGCAGGCUGGGACCCCCGUCCCCAAUUUCCAGGAUCGCAAAGCCCUCGCCAGGCUGGCCUGCUGCACGGGGAGGAUGAGGGGGUAUUGAGGGAAGAAGGUUGUUUUCUAAACAAGGGAAGGGGAAAUUGCCUCUGUUCCCAGGCAGGGUGGCAAUAAGAGGAAAUGCUGUUUUGUCCCAGCCGGUCUCUGUUGGCUUCGCAGGACUUUUGGUCACCACCAGCCUUGGUAACCGCUGCCUGUAGGCAAAACACUCCAAGGCAGGGAUGCCGUGAGGAGAAACACUUUAACCCAGCUUUUAACUGAGUGCAAGCAGUGCUCUGCCCAGUCCUAUCUCCCCACCAUCAGUUUCACUUCACACUGAGGUGCCAAAUCUGCAUGGUUUAGCCCCAGGCAGCCCACAGCACAUCAGCCCAGCCACGGCGCAGCUGUCUGCAGCAAGCCCCGUCCCUCACGGGUGGAGGUUGCCAGCACAGCAAUUUGGCCGUGGGUUUGGCUGCAGCUGAGAGCUGAAGCACUCGUGUGUUUGGGCUGACAUCUAGUGUCGGUGUGGAUGAGCCCAGAGAAACCAGCCCUGCUUCUCCCGGCCUGCCAGUGAUGAGGAAGAUGGUUUGGUGCUUCUGCUGAUUUGACUGCAGGUCUGACCCAUAACCCACGAAAAUCUCUUCUUCUAUUAACUACUGAGGAAAAUAAUAACAAUGGGUCGCUCAAAACGUUAGUGAACAAAUGGCCUGGAAGUCACAAAACCAGCUCAAGUUGCUUUGCUAUUUUGUUGUCACCUCCUCGUGAAGCAUCACAAGGACUAGGGACUGGUCUUGAGCAGUAGAAGUCACUUACAGGGAGGAAGGUAGUUGACGCAGUACCACCUAAUGGUAGGAUAUGAUUUCAAGGCACUUUUCCCAUCAAAAUCAUUUGGUAUGGUCUUCAGUAAACCCUGUAGCCACUGCCUUGAUUUGUUAUUAUUGGCUUGAGAGCCAUAUCUCAUGUGGGCUAAUCCUCCUUGACAGAUCUUUCCACAAAAGCCAGCACACCAGCUCAAGUCAGUUCACCCUAAUGUCUGUCUCACUCCCAAGAUGGGUACUUCUGAGACCUACAGAGUUUUCGGAAGCCACUCGUGGACUCAGCCCCUCCAUAGACCUGUGGAUUGCGACAGGAUGGGCAACGUGUCCUUGUAAUGGGCACUUCCCAAAGAAGCAGGAACAGGAUUUGGGUUUGGGAAUACAUGAAGCAACAGGAAAAUAUGUCGCUGCUGUCCCUACCCCCUGCAACUGGGAGGGAGACCCAUGCAAGAGGAUGCCUGGUGCUCUAGCCCCAGCUGGCAGUGUUUGCACAGGAGCAGGCUUUUGGGCACUCUGAAAGGGGCAGAUGAGGUCAUGGAGCAGAUCUCUCAGUGAUGCUGCAGGCACCCUGACACUACAGUUUGCAGCUCACAAGACUGCUGCUGCUGUUUAACCCUUAAAUGCCCUGUCUUUCCUUUCAGGUUCCCCAUCUAAUAGGAGUCUUAGUCAACCAGGGAACUCACAGUUAAGCUCAGAUGGCACAGGGCACUUUGUCCAACCAGAAGUAUUUCCUCUGUACACACUUCAACUCUGGAAAGUACAUGGAGACACUUUAUAUAACUGUGAACCAUGUAAGGACAAAGUAUUCCCUCAUAUUGUUCUGGCUGUGGUAUAUUUUACUUCAUGCAGUGUCGGAGUAUAUACAUGUCUACAUUUAUGGCUGCUGUUUAUAUUAAAUACAGUCCUCUCUUUUUCUUCAUUACCACAUUAGCAAUAUUUUUCUCUGCUGCCCUUACUUUACAUGCUAUCUCCUUCCCCAGUGUAAAACCAAAAUAGCAAAAACUUGAUCUUGGGACAUAAAAAGUGCCACUGCAAAACAACUUCUGCAGAGGAGCUGCAGCAGCUGAAAGCAUCCAUCAUUGACAAGGAUGGGGCUGAUAGCAUGAACAAUGUACAUCGAGGGUAACAUCAAGGCUUUGGGGUUUUCUAAUCCUCGUUCAUUAAAUCAAGAUAAUCUAGGGACACACA
Non-coding RNA from Anas platyrhynchos (mallard), 4475 nucleotides. The record is from RefSeq and is a predicted model, not a curated record. Lineage: Eukaryota; Metazoa; Chordata; Aves; Anseriformes; Anatidae.